RNAcentral lists this ribosomal RNA (253 nucleotides) under uncultured bacterium. RNAcentral describes it as "partial 16S ribosomal RNA". It matches the Rfam family "Bacterial small subunit ribosomal RNA", at positions 524 to 776 of the family's 1533-position model. The record is from RNAcentral.
UACGGAGGGUGCAACCGUUGCUCGGAAUCAUUGGGCGUAAAGCGCACGUAGGCGGUCCAGCAAGUCGGGUGUGAAAGCCCUCGGCUUAACCGAGGAAGUGCAUUCGAAACUACUGGACUUGAGUACUGAAGAGGAUCGCGGAAUUCCCGGUGUAGAGGUGAAAUUCGUAGAUAUCGGGAGGAACACCUGUGGCGAAAGCGGCGCACUGGACCACAACUGACGCUGAGGCGCGAAAGCUAGGGGAGCAAACAGG